UGAAGCUUUCAAAUUUUUUUUUUUAUGUGUCAAAGAAAGUAAUAAUGGGACAGUAAAACCGAGAAUAUUUAUGUCUGACAUGGCUGAGGCCUACUAUAAUGCCUGGGUGGAAGUUAUGUGCCCGGCAGAAUAUAGACUUUUUUGUAUGUGGCAUGUUGACAGGGCUUGGAGGAAGAAUUUAGAAAAAAUUGCAGAUAAACAGAAAAAGGUCCUUGUUUACCGAAUGCUGCGAAUACUACUCCAAGAGCUAGAUGAAUUUACUUUUAACAAACUUUUGCAAAAUUUUCUACAAUAUUGUUCAGAAAAUCCAGAGAUUGUUGAGUUUGGAAAAUACUUUAGUGAUUUCUAUAUAAGCAAAGUUAAACAAUGGGCCUAUUGCUACAGGCUACAUUGUGGAUUAAACACCAACAUGCAUAUAGAACGCGUGCAUAGGACCUUAAAACAUUUAUAUUUAAAUGGAAAAUUUAUCAAACGUCUUGAUAAGGCCAUUAGUGCCAUUAUGAAAUUUGUCAGGGAUAGAAUAUUUGAGAGGUUGAUCGUUGUUUAUAAAGGAAAAGUUUGUACUAAAUUAACAGAUCUAUGUCACAGGCAUAAAGAAAGUUUAACUAUGGAUUUGAAAAAAAUUGUUCAAUCUAAUGGAAGUUGGUUAGUACCAUCAUCCUCUAGCAAGGAAAUUUACAGUGUAGAGGAAGUAAAAUCUUUAUGUACCUGCAAUUUGUUAUGCAAUGAAUGCUCAGCUUGCAUCCAUAAAUACUGUUAUAUAUGUAUACUCCAUGUAUAAAUAUGUUUAGACUGUAGUAUUAAAUGGAAUAUGUGCAAGCACAUUCAUUUAGUAUGAAAAUUUGUGCAGCAGUAUCCACCAUUGUAUACGACACCACGUAUCUUAUUGAUACGUCAACGAUCAACCACGUAUCUUAUUGAUAAAGAAGCAGAAGAUAUAUUGGCAGGUUCAGGUAAUCUCAUUAUUGACAUCAAUGAAAAGGAUCAAGAGGCAUUAAAUCUGAUAUCGUCACUUAGUACUCCUAGUUCCAUGCAGCACACUGAUGAAAGUAAUUUAAUUGAGGAAGAACAGAAAAUUUUACAAUUCAUUCAAGAAACCCUUGCAAAUAUUGAUUCACCUGAAGAAAUUGACUGCAUUAAAAAAAUAAUAGCACCAAUAAAACCAACCCUUGAAGCUAUCAAGAAUCAAAAAUUUAUAGGAAUGCCUUUAGUGCCCUCAGCAAAGAAUAUAUCAAUUAAUAAAAAUAUAGAGCCUCAAAUGCGUUUGUUCGCAACAAAAAAAGAUUAAAGAAAUAAUGUCAAAACUCUCAAAAAACAUGUGGCAAUUUAGCUUUACAAAUGAUUAAUAAAGACUUUAGCAAUUAGAUGAUAAAUUAGAUGAAUGUCCUUGCAGAUUGUAUUUUUUUUAAAUCACUCCUUUUUUACCUAAUUUCAUUAUUUCGCUCUACUGAAAAGUUAGUAAAAAAAAGUAAACAUCGAGAUGAGGUAUAGUUACUUUCGUGACGAAUUGAGAACUAAAAAUGUACCUUUUCUCUUUAUCUGAUUCUUUUUUAACUUGAUUACAUCGGAAUAUUU
This 1575-nucleotide long non-coding RNA is filed under the name Anthonomus grandis grandis. RNAcentral's name for it is "uncharacterized LOC126744397". The record is from RNAcentral. Lineage: Eukaryota; Metazoa; Arthropoda; Insecta; Coleoptera; Curculionidae.